This 465-nucleotide ribosomal RNA is filed under the name uncultured Klebsiella sp. RNAcentral describes it as "bacterial SSU rRNA". It matches the Rfam family "Bacterial small subunit ribosomal RNA", at positions 338 to 795 of the family's 1533-position model. Lineage: Bacteria; Pseudomonadati; Pseudomonadota; Gammaproteobacteria; Enterobacterales; Enterobacteriaceae. The record is from RNAcentral.
CCUACGGGAGGCAGCAGUGGGGAAUAUUGCACAAUGGGUGCAAGCCUGAUGCAGCCAUGCCGCGUGUGUGAAGAAGGCCUUCGGGUUGUAAAGCACUUUCAGCGGGGAGGAAGGCGGUGAGGUUAAUAACCUCAUCGAUUGACGUUACCCGCAGAACAAGCACCGGCUAACUCCGUGCCAGCAGCCGCGGUAAUACGGAGGGUGCAAGCGUUAAUCGGAAUUACUGGGCGUAAAGCGCACGCAGGCGGUCUGUCAAGUCGGAUGUGAAAUCCCCGGGCUCAACCUGGGAACUGCAUUCGAAACUGGCAGGCUAGAGUCUUGUAGAGGGGGGUAGAAUUCCAGGUGUAGCGGUGAAAUGCGUAGAGAUCUGGAGGAAUACCGGUGGCGAAGGCGGCCCCCUGGACAAAGACUGACGCUCAGGUGCGAAAGCGUGGGGAGCAAACAGGAUUAGAUACCCUAGUAGUC